This is a long non-coding RNA of Dromaius novaehollandiae (emu), 9911 nucleotides long. RefSeq lists it as uncharacterized. The transcript is spliced from 3 exons. The record is from RefSeq and is a predicted model, not a curated record. Lineage: Eukaryota; Metazoa; Chordata; Aves; Casuariiformes; Dromaiidae.
CGUUAUAUGCCACUUUUAAUUUAAAGGAAACAUAAUUACUUUAAUUUCCAUAUGAUCCUGAUGGGAAAAUAUUUAUAUUCAGAAAUUUGGGAGUGUCCUUUUGAGGCCAAACACUGUUGGAUUUGCCUGGGUGGAUUGUUCUCUGAUUCUGAUCUUAUUAGGUGGAGUGAAUAAAUUCCAUUUUGUGAAUAUUAGAAUAUAUCUACCAUGCAAAUACAAUUUCUUAAUAUUGGGGUCAGGGUUGGUACUAUGGGAUUAGACAAAUAAUAUUUGAUCCUGAUUUUUUUUUUAAAUUUAAUUAGUAGCAGUCCUAGAUUAAUGAUAGAAAUAUUUAGCUGUUGGAUAGUGCAGUUCGUUUUUGUCUGGUAAGAACUUGAAAAAGGUGGGUAAAUGUAAGAACCGAAACUUUUGGGAAAGAAGGUCAGGAAAGUAUGAUAAGCUUCAUCUCCUAAACAGGAAAGUGGAGUUCUAAUACACUUUUGAAUGAAUUGCAGUAGCUGAUCUUGCACUGCCUUUGGCACAGCGGAUUAUUGCUUAGGCCUUGCUGGGUUUAUAUUUGAGGUCAGAAUCCUGAGCCAUAAUACAAACUUUCAAGAACACAUCUUUGAAAUUAGUUGCAGACUUGUUUUGAAAAUAUUGAAGUUUUCUUGAAACUUAGGGUCAGCUGCAUUCUAGUUACUUAAAUAUUUAUUUGCAAGAAAAUUUGACUUUUGAUGAAUCAAGAGACUUUUUGAAAAAGUCAUCUCCCAAGAACUAGUUAACUGUAUUGAAUGUCUAUGUUCUCUCAUAGUGUCCUAAAUUUGUGAGUUUGUGUCCUGUUAAUUUCCCCAAAACUAAAAUUAAGAAUAAUAGUUAUUUGCACCUUUCGUUAUAGCUAGUCUAUUUAGCAUGUUUAGGUUCAUAUUUAAGGACAUGUUGCCAAAAGAUGAACAUUUAUAGCAUGUGGUUACCAUUUCAGUUAUAUUUGUGUCCUGACCUCUUUUGAAAGUUUGCUAUAAUGUGUGUUAAUUCUGCUGCUGCUCUUCCAUUUGGUUCUGUUCCUUAAAUUCAGCUAUUUUCAAUUUUUUUCGUUCUGGCCAAAGUAACAGUGAAUUGUGAAUUAGUGAAUACUAACGAUUACUUUUUUAGGGGAGGAGGGGAGCAAUGCAAGAUUUUCUCAUAGUAUUGGAAAACAGCCUGUAUGUGGAAGUGAAUGAAGACAAUUCCCGUUCUAUUUUAUUUCUGAAAGAUGUGCUUUCUCAGGUGUGAGAGGAAACAGGAUUUUACUAAGGUGACUUGCUCUGGGUAAGAUGAGUCUUUUCUCCACUCCUGGAAGGACAUAGCAGAACACCAAACUGGUAUUUGUUGGUGUAUGUAGGGACUAAGAGUGUGCUGUGAGUUGUUUGUUUACACGGCUAUGCUUAAGCUCAGACAGAGAUCUUUAGGAAAUCAUAGUAAGCUAGAUAAACAACAAUUUGCAACGCUGACUCUUUCUUUUUGCUAUUUCAGAUAGCAGUUGUCAUAGUAAGGAAAGCCCAGACAGUAGAGGGAAGACCUUCUCUAAGGGAGACUAUGAGAACUGUGUCAGCAGAAGUUGGGAACUGGCUUCAAAAUUUAGCUUUUUCGUGGCAGCACUUGGUACGUCCAGCUGGGAAAACAAGUAGAGUGGAUUCUCUCUGUAGCUCUAAUUAGGAUCAAGGUUAUAUGUGAAUUUCUGAAGGCAGAAUAUCACUUACUGAUUUUUAGAAAACGGAUGAAGUACCCUCAUUUGCGAUUGCAGAGGGUGGAAGCUGUUUGUGGUAUCAUAGGCCCGGGGAAGGGCUUAGUCUGUGAUUUCCAGCUAGGACAUUCAGAGCUGGUGGUAGGGAGCAAGUACUUGUCUUUUGGAAAACUGAAGCUGGAAGUGAAUUAAAACUGAUGCAUGUGUAUGCUUAUUGAAACUUAUACUUACCAAUACUCUAAGUAAAUAAUGUUUAUUACAACUUAGGGAACACAUGACAAAAAUAGAGCUAUAUACCUGCUUUGUAGUGUGGGAGAGUUUAGUCUUGUAAUGAAAAGAACAAACUUUUAGGUACAGCUUCUUUUAUUUCAUGCAAUAAAUCUUCCGUUUACAAUAUUUAAAGUGUGAGUAUUUAGUAAAAGUCAGAGAACUGAGAAAUAUAAUUUCCUCAGUGAUCUUCGUUCUGUCCUUUUACAGAUGGCAUAAAAUCAGGUGUGUAAAAAAAAUUGAGUUAGUUGAGCUGACAUGAAAGGUAUUUCAGAUUUAUGUUUUGCAGAUGAUAUUGGUAUGAUUAAUGUAUUCAUUGCUUUUUUUUAUUGCUUCGCACAGAUAAUGUUCGUGAUGCAUGGAAAAUUCUGUGUCUUUAAAAUCUAUGCCAGGUUUACAAAGUUUGUAUAUGUCAACAGAUGUUAAGAAUAUAAACACAACUUUUAUUAUAAAGUUGUGCAAAUGUGUAGACAUGAACUUGGUUUAUGUAUAUUAUUUUCAGCAUGAGAAUGAAAUGAAACUUCUGUGAAACAAGAGUUAUUUAGAUUCCUGAAGCUUUCAGGCUGAGAUUAGCUUGGUUAAAAGCGAUCAGAAAUGGGCUGCCUUCUUCCUAACUGACAAGCUAAUGACACUUCUGGCUUACAGAGUUAUUUUGCAACACAGAGCUUAAAACUGCUGAUGCUGUUUGUUAUUUUGAAGAUACAUUUUCAUGAAAAUGGGCUUUUGGGAUACACUUCUCUAAAACAAGUUGGAAACAGUUUGAAAUCCCAAUAUAAAACCUCUGGUUAAUUUUACUGCUGUGGGUGCCUGGCACGUGCGAGUCCUGAUGUCCUGGCUAAAACAGUGUUAGUGUUCCUGGUGUCCUGUACUCCACGACAUGGUGCAGGCCCAAAGAGAAGUGUCUGAUGCCUGACAAGACUUGUUUCUCGCCCUUCAGCUGAGCAGCUCCUGACUGAGAUGUUUGGUUCCUCUCCCACUGCGGUGCUAUUACUACUCUUGUCUGUUCUCCGUGCUGCCCGGCUUACCACCGAAGCACGGUAACAUAUGGAGGCAAAAGAGUUUUUUCUUUAUCUUCCUCAAAGACCUGUUUUUGUUUCCUUUACUUCAAGAUAGCCUUGUGGGUAGGUGUUCUAAAUCUUGUAUAAGAUACGCUAACUGUGGGAAUAAACACAAACACAGCUGAACUCCAGAGGAGAAUGCCUUAUCCUCUGGAGUAGGUGUAUUUAUCAUACUGAUACAUCAUUUCCUCCUUGUCGAUGCUUUGUUGUUAGCAGUUGCAUGUAUUAUUGAUACUGCUUAAUAGCCUGUAGGCAGCAACCUAUUAGAAUUUCAUGUCUCUUACCUCAAGGAGGGUUGUUUAGGUGUGCUUACUUAAAAGAGAUCCCCUGCUGAAUUAUCUGCUAGAGAGCUCAGAGACCUUAGUGAGAAUGGAGACGUGAUCAUGUUAGAUAACAUACGGAGUUGCGGUACUUUUCCUGGAGCGCAUGCGUUCAGAAGCUCUGGCCGUACUAUUUAAUUGCAAUGAACAGAUCCUGUUAUACUCUUAAAGACCUCUUUACUUCAGCAGGGCUUUGUUUGAAGGAAAAGGUCUGACUGUGAGGGUGAGGCCUGGCAGAAUUGGGGUGGAUAGACUUAGACUGCUCUCCAGGAGAUCUCUGAGAUGGUUCUGGGUGAAGAUGAGCCACCAUAAACUUUACAGUUAUAUCAGAGCUUAUUAAAUUGUCUUUUUUCUUGUCUACAGGUGUACUUUCUAUAGCCAUCGACUGGCAACAAGGCAGCAAAACCCAGGGCUAGUAUCACAGCCUGUUUUCCUCUUGUGUUUUUCCUCUGUUGUUGUUGUUCCUUUGUGAGCUGGCAGAGAACAGAAAAGUGAAUCUGGCUUUUAAAAUGUGCUGGGGAGAACUGUUGUGGGAGGCAGGAAGAACAAAAAAGUUAUCUGGGCUUUCAGGCUACUUUGUAUCCCCAAAAAGGCAUGUUUUAAAGCCUGUUAAUUACUGUUUCUGUGUGACUGCAACAAAAAGUUCAUCUUCAGGCUAGAGAGCAAGCAGCUUGUUUCCAGUCUGCCAAAGCUAAAUUCAAAACCGUGAUAGAAGUGUAAUUGGCACUUUCAGACUGUACCAGUAGGUUUUACUAGUUAUAGUUCUGAGAUUCAGAAAGGAAACUGCAGAUUGGACAAAUGUUUGAAAGUCAGUAAUCCAGGGAGGGUAGAAUUGCUGAAUACCUUCAUGUCCUGACCUAUAUCUCAGGAAUUUCCUGGAAUUUUCUCAGUAUUUCAUCUCACUGAACUUCAUGAGGAGUGAUCAUGCAAAGGGGACAGAGUUAGCUUCAAAUCCAGAAUUUCUGCUGAAAACACUUUGCCCACCUGUUCUUACAAAUUGCGCUUACAGGUAAUUCAGAAAUUCAGUUGAAGAUCUCUUUUUGGUUUAGUACUUUGCAUGGAGCCAGUCUGUUUUUUUUCUGACCAGUCGUGUUAGUUUCUUGCUUGGGUUGUGUGGACAGACCUGACAACCGAGGAGGAAGGAGUAGUAACACAGAAAACUCCUCUGGAAGUGGUGAAACAUGAAACUUGGGUUUCUAGGGAUUUAUCCCCCCUGUCGUCUUUGCCAUUACUCAAAUACUUCCAGCUCUUCUCCCUCAUGAUGUCCCUCCAGCUUCAUCUUGUGCCUGACUCUGAACUGGGCAGGAGGCAGCAUGGCUAUGAAUGGCUCCAAGCACCAUAUAUGCUGGCUGGUUUGCUUACAGGCAAAUGGAAGAGCAGUGUUGAGCCCUCAGUUUGGGUCCUUCUCUGUCCAACUGCUAAAAAUUUGCAGGAACAUUGUAGCUUUGAAAAUUCCAUGUCUCUUGUCAAAUUUAGUUAAAUUUGACCAGAGGGUUUAGGGGGAAACUGCCUGUGUGAUUGCAUUUCCUUAGGUAAUCAUGCAAAAGUAAAAAAUACUGUUGCAGAAUUACAAAGGUGGGCAUGUUUGCUGAUGGUCAGGUUCAGUAUUUACAACUGUUUUCCUUUAUGGGAUAAUUUUAAAAUGAAGGCUUUUAUAAUUUCAUCUAGCCUUUUUCCAAAAAAGGAAAGUAGAUGCAUGAGACCUCUGAUGUCAUUUUAGAAAAUGACAGGAAAUCAAGUGCUUUAAAACUUUUAGAAGUUAUUUUAAAUACAUUUUCUGUUUUGGUGACACAGGACACAGGUGAAAGAUGAGCCUGAGCAGAGAUGAUAGGAAGGAAACUUUGGAGAACUUCGUGUAGUGAGAGUAGAAGCACAUGUGUUUCGUUGUGAGUGUGGAAUCUCGUUUUUCUGCAAACUUUUUUGAAAGAGAUGUGCAAAAGUUCUAGAGCUGUUAAAUAAUUCUUCUCACUUUGCAUUUCCUUUCUAAAUUUGCUAGCUGUUUUGCUUGAAAUCCAGAAUAAAGUCUAGAGCAAACUCUCACAGAACACAUUACUAUAAAGAGUAGUAGACGCCCUUUUUUCCUCAUUGAAAUGCCAGCUAUUUUCCUUUUGCCGUAGGAAGACAUACUCAGUUUUGUCCCUUUAAAUUGCUUGUGGCUAUAUAUCAUGGUUAUAAUAUGGUUAUAUAUCCAAAGUAAUUUGGUCGGAUAUGCAGUGAAAUUCUUUAUUUGUUUUAAUCAUCUUACUUGGUGAAAAUCCCUUGGCAUGGGUCCUUUUCUUUAUGUACCUUUACUUUGUGAAGCUCUUCAGGACCAUUCAUCAAGUUUACCCUAUGGAACUGCAAUAGCGGGGACAUAUUCUUAAUGAGUUAGUGCUGUGCUGGUUGCUCCAAUCACUUUAGCUUAGUUUAACUUACUGUACAAUAAUGCUGAGCAUGUCUGAAUGUAAUCUGUGUCGAUACUUCCUUUUCUGAGUCCCGGCACAUUGCUUUGUCUUCUGUGUUGAUCAAAGAUUGGAAAAUUUGUUUUUAUAUGCAUAGGCAGUGAAUUUCAUUGCUGUUUUAUAUACUUAAUCUUUUGGCUGUUUGGCUGAAAUAUGUCCACGCCUUUUACGUAUUGAAAACAUAAUAUCCUUUAACCUACAAUCUGUGGAGUUAAAAUGAAUUUUAUUUCAAAUAUUCAGUCGUGGACCACAUCUCCAGCUUUUUAUAUGCCACAGUGGUCUUGUUUUUUUUCUUCUCCAUUGUCUGAUAGUGAGGUCAUUUUCAGUCCUCUGAGAAACUUUAUUCCCAGCCAGAUGCGGGCCAUAUAUUAAAAGUAGCACCUGUGGCUAAUAUCACAGCAGCUUACCAUAAAUUUACAUGGUAACUAGGAUUAUAUCUGUCAAGACUGUUAAAAAAUGUCUAGAUUUAAUUUGAUUUCCAGUAUUGAAGGAGCUCUCCAACAUUUUGCUUCAUAACUAUAUUUUAAAAGUUAAAAUCACUCCAUUGUUAAGUUUUAUAGCACUCCCAGUGCCCAUUAAGUUGAUUUGUUAAAUGGAGGUCAGAAUAAAGCAAGUUGGCUACAUUAGGAUCGGAAACCAACCCAUUUGUGACAAAUUUAGUCCUCGCGUGUGAAUCUUCUCAAAGCCUCGGUACUGAUUGGUUUCAGGUGUAGCUUAUGUCAGUUUUGCUUAACCUCAAAGAAAGAGCAACAUGAGUCCAUUAUUGUCAGUUAUGCUAACCAAAAGACAAACCCGUUUUCAUUUGUUUGGGGCGUUCGUUUUUUUUAAUGUAAUGUUUGACUGCUUGCUCCCUCACUUUAGAAUUUUGCAUUAGAUUACCUGUUGAAUGAAAAGAAGUGAUUUUUUUAUCCAUCUAGGUAAGUGCUGUUUUUCAUAUAGACUUUCCUAAACUGCUUCAUUUUCCAUUAUCCUUUGAGUCCUCUCCCAUAUGCUAUGAUUUGUGCACCUGCAAAGUUAUGAAAGUAUUUCUUUUGGUAGUUACGUUGUUCACUAACUUCCCUGCAUUUAUGAAUACAAUAACUGAUUUACAAUAAAUCAGAAUUAUUUAUGAGUGGAUUUACAGAGUUGAGAAAAUCUUUGUAUCUGAAAAUAAUGAAUUUCUGGCCUAUCUGCCUGUUGACGUUUUCCUUUAUUAGAAACUGAUAGUGAAAUUUUCAGGACUCGCAAAGGUUAACUAGCAAGCUAAACCAGAGCGAAUGAACUGGCUCAACUGGCUCAGAACCUCGCAUAGUAAAAAUAUAUUAUUCCUAGAUGAUCACACCUUCCUCGAGUUUAUACUUGUGAUUGACUUAGUAAAUAACACUCUUGCCUCUGAGUCAGGAGGUCAGCGGGUCAAGUUCCAGCUGCGGGACCUGGACGCUUUCCACCUACCCACAUCCCUGUAUGGCAGUGGCUCCGAGAGGCUGGCGAGCUCCAAGUGUGCACGCAACUAAAUGAAGUUCCUUGGGAGAUCGUUCAUUUGAAAGCUUAAGAUUCUUCUUCCCUGGCUUUAAGAGAGAAGGAGGUGACAGUAGUGGCCUGGUCAACACAGCCUGUUUCCAAUAAUAAUUCCAGUUAACUGGCAGCCAGCAGUUUUUCUACUGAUGAGAAAUGCUGCAAAGCUAGAAAGUUUAUUGUGAUGGAAAUAUUUAAUCUGUUUGCAUCUGGGCAGAAAUUAAAUUCUUGGAGCUGGGAAGUACUGGAUUUAUUUUCUUCUCAUGGCCAACAUGGCUCAUGGGGUACAAGAACACAUGUAAAGUCAGACUGAAAAUAUUCUGGAGCACGGACUGAUGUGUUUUACACUUGCUAACUUUUUUCCUAUUUUAAAUGUAGGUGCCUUAGUGCAUCAGUGGGCUCUGUCUUUUAAAGUUCUUCACGGUUUAGCCUUUCCUCAUAUAUCUGGGUAGCUAUAUUACUGUAAAACCUGCUUCACUUUAACAGUAUGCCACUUAUGCCUGUUUUAAUCAGGUAUUUCCCUAUUUAAUACUUCUGCACUCCUGGCAAACCAUUGCUUUAUUCUCCAAUUUCUUCCUUAAAACUUUGCUAUUAUAAUGCGUAUGAGAAACUCCUGCCAGAUAAAAGUUUGGCAGGUGGCAAGUUGUGAUUGCUCCUCUUCCUACUGUUUAGUCUCUUGUCCCCUCUUUGGCUAGGGUCUGUGCGUACAGAUCAUAGCGCAGCAGAGUCCGGUCUGUUUGGGACGGUAACAGUAUGGUAUCAGUGUCACCAUUAUAUCAUCAUCAUUGCACUACCACCAUUGUCAGGCUGUCAGGAUUAUUAAAAAUAUCACAACAUUAAUGGUAUUUAAAUGGAAUCCUUUUUAAUUGGAGUUUCAGGGUGGGCUUACGUACUUUGCUUUCUUUAGGGAUUGGUUUGUUGGUAAAUGCUAUUAGAUAAAAAUAAAACGUUAACUCUUCCCCCUAACUCUUGUCUUUUCCCCCCACCUUCCACCCUAAAAAAGAUCUUUACUACUUGGUGAGCAAAUCUUAAGAAUUCUGAGCUGGUAGCUGUAAUUGAAAGAUGAAGUAGAGGUGAAAUCCAAGAUGCCACUUCCUAGGUGUCUUAGAAGUUGCAUUUGCAUCAGUUUAAUUUUUCUUAUGACUUUACUGUGAUUAAGAACAGUAAUUUUAUUGAUGAGCUAAGCUGUAGCUAAGCCCUAUUUCUCCUCAAAAUAAACCAUUCUCUCUCUCUCUCUCUCUCUCUCUCUCUCUCUCUCUCUCUCUCUCUCUCUUUUAAUUUGUGGGGAAACUGCAUCUCCAGUUGCUGAGUAUGGCACACUGAGCAGACCUGUUGUAUAUAGACUUAAGCAGGCCAGUGCUUAAGGCUGUCCAACUGAUCUUUGGGCUGCUCUCCAGUUGGCUCUAAUACGAAUGCUUUCCUUAAAAGAUGGAUUUAUUAUCACUUAAGUAAAAAAUAUUACAGCGUUUGCCUUAUGCUUAUUUCAUGCAUUAAUCUGAAUAAAAAUAAAUUAUUUGUCAAUGCCUUUUGGAUUUCACAAGCAUUGUUGUAGAUUUGAAGAGGAGAAAUUUUUCUCCUUCUUUCAGCUAUAUGUAAUGCACAAAUGGAUUUAUAAUGAUUAUUCACUGUUUGAAUUAAACUGGACGAACUGUAUAUCAGCCAUACAGGCAUACUAAAAGAUAGCAAACAAGAGCAGGUCAACUGAUUUUAACUAAAGUUUGAACUCUUUCUUUGUUAAACUAACUUUGGCAAAUGUGGUAAUGGUUUUGAAUUCAGCUGGACCACUUCAUUUGGGAAAAUGUAAAUAAGAUUUAUGUUGCCUUUUCUAAAGAUGGUCACUCGGAAUAAUUUCUUUUACCUUUUCAGUUCAGGAAACCUCAUGCCUUAUAACUUUAUGCAUUAAAAUUUAUUUGUAUGGGGGUGCUGCAAAGACGCUGGUUUAGAUGCAAAGAGCACAUCUCUCCAGCUUGAUUAUGUUUAACCUUCUGCAUCCCCUUGCUUUUGGAAUCGUGCCUGACUACAUUUUAAAACUGUAAAGAACACCAGCAGUUCUCACUUUCUAGUAGUCCCCCUCCAAAAAAGCAUGAAGGAAAAGCAUGCUUUGGGAUAUUAUACUCUGCGAUUGUAAUUAAAAAUGGACUCUGGCUGGUCGAAUAAAAUAAAAUAAAAUUACAAUGCACCUAUUUAAAAAUUAACCAUUACUUGCCAAAAGCACAUCAAACCCACUUAGCGGACAUCCGUUAAUCCAGCGGUUAGCUGUUUCAGGCUUUAAUGCACACUGUUUUACACGUUAACGGUUUUGAAGUUCCAGGCCAGCGCUGACCUUUCACAUCUGCUCCUUUCACAGUAGGAAUCUCCACUUACUGCUUCCUGUCAGGCUGGAUUAGAGUGACAAAGUGCAGCGCUCGGGCUGGCUGCAAUUUCGUUUUUGAUCAGAAUUAUUUCUUUCACAAACAAUCACAUUUGCUAAAAUGUUACAUCUGCUCUGAAAAGCCACUGGCAGACCCACAGUUUAUCAGUGUGAUGUUUUUGUAAUUUGUGGGAGGCUGAAAGACUGAAGCUAUUAUCAACCAUUAUAUGUUAUUCGUUGACCACAUGUUUGUUUGAAAUGGCCAUCACUUGGUGGAAUGUG